This 388-nucleotide long non-coding RNA is filed under the name Phoenix dactylifera (date palm). Its description in RNAcentral is "long non-coding RNA (PDAC_LNC007377)". Lineage: Eukaryota; Viridiplantae; Streptophyta; Magnoliopsida; Arecales; Arecaceae. The record is from RNAcentral.
ACUGAAAUUGGUCUAAAUGAUGUGUUUUUCAAUGAUCUUGAUUGCAAAUAAAUGGUUCUAAACAUAUGAUAUUAUUUUGAUAUUAAAAAGAUUUAUGGUGCUUCAUAUAAACUAUGACUAAGAAAUUAAUAUUUUGAAUAUACACUCCUACAUAAUUAAAUGCUUCUAUCAUUAAAAAGAAAAGCUGUUUUUAAGAAGAGAGUUAAUGAUCCUAAAGCUUAAAAUAUUUCAACUCACUUCAAUAAUUCUUAUAGGAAAGAAAAUAUAAUUACUUUUGAAAGAAAUUUGAGCUUCAAAAGAAUUAUUUUCUGAUUAAUAUUUUCAUACAUAUUCAAAAAAAAUAAGAGGAAAUAUAAUUUAUUCUUGAAAGAUUAAAAAGAGUGAUUGC